CAUGAGUAGUGUUGGACACGUGACUGCCGGCAGGCCCCCCGGCCUAUUGUGCGGCCGACUGUCGGCGCCGUGUCCGGUCGAUUGUGCGGGAUUCGUUCCCGUGCCAUUGACAAGUGCUUGCACGAUGUUACCCGUCCGACGGGAAGUGGGAUUUCAUACAUGUUGCCUUCGUCGCACGCGCCCUUCGGGUGUGACGCGUCGGGUACAAAGCGCUCGCGGCGUUGCCUCACGAUAUGUCCAACAAGGCCAGUAUCGCGAAGGCCACCUCGCUUGUGCUGUUGGUCCCGGAUGCUGCUCACGCUACAGGCUCGUGGCCCUUCGGUGCCGUGUUCCUCACAAAAAGUCCGUUCGGAAAAACGACAGUUGGCCCGGCCGAAGCCGUUGCCGUGCUCCACGUGAGCCGGCGCGUGCGGUGGCCGGUCCAGCUCGUCGAGGAGGACGUGCU
RNAcentral lists this unclassified non-coding RNA (445 nucleotides) under Arundo donax (giant reed). RNAcentral describes it as "partial external transcribed spacer". The record is from RNAcentral. Lineage: Eukaryota; Viridiplantae; Streptophyta; Magnoliopsida; Poales; Poaceae.